AAACCAAGAAGAUUGAGUUAUGCCUUUUCGGUAAAAAGACAGUUAGGCAGCAUGAAAAGUUCAUUAAAUUGUUAUUAAGAAGUAAAAUUCACAGAUGAUUUAGAGAAUUAAUCUAAACUAAAAAGCUGAAGCUGUGACAUCUUUGAGGGAAACUGGGAUUAGAUACCCCAUUAUUCUUGGAAGUAAAAAUAAACCUACCAGAGUACUAUGAAUAAAUGACAUUUAAAACUCAAAGAGCUUGGCGGUGUUUUAGACUCUUUAGGGGAACCUGUCUCAUAAUCGACAAUCCACGUAAGACCUGACCUUUAUUUGCUCUCAGUUUGUAUACCGUCGUCGUCAGGUAACUUUUUAGAAAAAAGAAGUUAGCGAAAGAAUCAUAAUAAAUUCUUACGUCAGAUCAAGGUGCAGCCAAUGUAAUGGGGAGGAUGGGUUACAAUUAUAAAAAUUAUAAUUUACCAAAUAGAAAUUUUAAAUAGUAUCUAUGAAGGAGGACUUAAAAGUAAAAUAAAAUAUAUAAGCGUAUUGAAUCGAGCUCUGAAACGUGC
This 545-nucleotide ribosomal RNA is filed under the name Neothais marginatra. RNAcentral describes it as "Semiricinula marginatra partial 12S ribosomal RNA". Lineage: Eukaryota; Metazoa; Mollusca; Gastropoda; Neogastropoda; Muricidae. The record is from RNAcentral.